UUAGACCAGUUAGGGGUGAUCCUUCUGACCAGUCAGGGGCGAGCUUUAGACCAGUCAGGGGUGAUCCUUCUGACCAGUCAGGGACGAGCCUUCUGACCAGUCAGGGACGAGCCUUCUGACCAGUCAGGGACGAGCCUUCUGACCAGUCAGGGGUGAUCCUUCUGACCAGUCAGGGACGAGCCUUCUGACCAGUCAGGGACGAGCCUUCUGACCAGACAGGCACGAGCCUUCUGACCAGACAGGCACGAGCUUUAGACCAGUCAGGGACGAGCCUUCUGACCAGUCAGGGGCGAGCUUUAGACCAGUCAGGGACGAGCUUUAGACCAAUCAGGGAUGAGCUUUAGACCAUCAGGGACGAGCUUUAGACCAAUCAGGGACGAGCCUUCUGACCAGUCAGGGACGAGCUUUAGACCAGUCAGGAUCAGCCCUCUGACCAAUCCAGCAGAAGCUUCUCACCAAUCAGGGCAAAGAUUAUAUAUCUAAACGUUUUAAGCCAAAA
Pygocentrus nattereri (red-bellied piranha) is the source of this 499-nucleotide long non-coding RNA. RefSeq lists it as uncharacterized. Lineage: Eukaryota; Metazoa; Chordata; Actinopteri; Characiformes; Serrasalmidae. The transcript has 2 exons. The record is from RefSeq and is a predicted model, not a curated record.